GUACAUGUAUUUUCAUAGCAACAGUUUGUUCAAAUACAAAAUACAAGUUGCUAAUUUAAGUAAUUAUGAAAGUGUUGCUAUGAAUCUCAUAAUUAUGGUGCUAUGAAUUUCAUAAUUAUGGUCUUAGGUAUGCUAUUUAUGAAUUUUACCCAACAACAAAUGACAAUGUGUACUUUCACUCUCAAAAUCAACCACCUUACCUCAACCCCACCUCACCCAUAACUUACUCUAUUUCCACU
Molecule: long non-coding RNA, 239 nt
Filed under: Capsicum annuum
Lineage: Eukaryota; Viridiplantae; Streptophyta; Magnoliopsida; Solanales; Solanaceae
Description: long non-coding RNA (CANN_LNC002055)
Source: RNAcentral